RNAcentral lists this ribosomal RNA (19 nucleotides) under Biatora helvola. Its description in RNAcentral is "partial 28S ribosomal RNA". The record is from RNAcentral. Lineage: Eukaryota; Fungi; Ascomycota; Lecanoromycetes; Lecanorales; Ramalinaceae.
GAUUGACAUCGGAUCCAGG